GUUGAGGACCCUGCUCGAUGAGCUUACAUGCUAGAGGGAGUGGGGUAUAGUGACACAAAGGGUUAAAGUAGGGGAAUUAAAUAGUUUGUUACAGAAGGGUUUAUUGAGUGCUUGGUAGGUCAUUUUUGACAGGUGCAGGAACAGAGUCAUGGGGUGGGGGAUGAGAAACCUGCUGACAGUUUAAUUGAUACGCUUUAAUGAAGAAGUGAGUUUUCAAAGAUUUUUUGAAGGAGUGGAGGCUGGGUGAAAGUCUGAUUGAGGAGGGAAGAGAGUUCCACAGAAUAGG
Molecule: non-coding RNA, 286 nt
Organism: Pelobates cultripes (western spadefoot toad)
Lineage: Eukaryota; Metazoa; Chordata; Amphibia; Anura; Pelobatidae
Source: the annotation of a GenBank genome assembly